AAGAUUUUAAGUUAUUUAAACUUUAAACCUUCAAAGUUUAAUAUAUAAUCAAUCCUAUUUAUUAUAAAUCUUA
Molecule: transfer RNA, 73 nt
Filed under: Camponotus atrox
Lineage: Eukaryota; Metazoa; Arthropoda; Insecta; Hymenoptera; Formicidae
Description: tRNA-Trp
Source: RNAcentral